RNAcentral lists this ribosomal RNA (1396 nucleotides) under uncultured archaeon. RNAcentral's name for it is "16S ribosomal RNA". It matches the Rfam family "Archaeal small subunit ribosomal RNA". The record is from RNAcentral.
GUCACUGCUAUUGGGAUUCGACUAAGCCAUGCGAGUUGAGAGGGUUCGGCCCUCAGCAGACGGCUCAGUAACACGUGGAUAAUCUGCCCUUAGGUGGAGGAUAACCCCGGGAAACUGAGAAUAAUACUCCAUAGAUCUGGAAUGCUGGAAUGCAUCUAGGUUGAAAGCUCCGGCGCCUAAGGAUGAGUCCGCGGACUAUCAGGUAGUAGUUAGGGUAAAGACCCGACUAGCCUAUGACGGAUACGGGUUGUGAGAGCAAUAACCCGGAGACGAUAUCUGAGACACGAUAUCGGGCCUUACGGGGCGCAGCAGGCGCGAAAACUUCACACUGUGCGAAAGCACGAUGAGGGAAUCCCAAGUGCUGGCUCGUAAGAGUCAGCUGUUUUUCUGUCUAAAAAACAGAGAGAGUAAGAGCUGGGUAAGACGGGGCCAGCCGCCGCGGUAAUACCUGCAGCUCAAGUGGUGGCCGCUAUUAUUGGGCCUAAAACGUCCGUAGCCGGUUUAGUAAAUGCCUGGGUAAAUCGUGUAGCUUAACUGUACGAAUUCCGGGUAGACUGCUGAACUUGAGAUCGGGAGAGGCUAGAGGUACUCCUGGGGUAGAGGUGAAAUUUUGUAAUCCUAGGGGGACCACCAGUGGCGAAGGCGUCUAGCCAGAACGGGUCUGACGGUGAGGGACGAAGCCCUGGGGCGCAAACCGGAUUAGACACCCGGGUAGUCCAGGGUGUAAACGCUGCUCGCUUGAUGUUAGUUGGGCUCCGGGCCCAACUAGUGUCGGAGAGAAGUUGUUAAGCGAGCUGCCUGGGAAGUACGGUCGCAAGGCUGAAACUUAAAGGAAUUGGCGGGGGAGCACAGCAACGGGUGGAGCGUGCGGUUUAAUUGGAUUCAACGCCGGAAAACUCACCGGGGGCGACGGUUAUAUGGAGGCCAGGUUGAUGACCUUGCCAGAUUUUCCGAGAAGUGGUGCAUGGCCGUCGUCAGUCCGUACCGUGAGGCGUUCUGUUAAGUCAGAUAACGAACGAGACCCUCAUUUUUAGUUGCUACCGGUAAGUCCGCUUAUUAGGCACACUAAAGAGACCGCUGGCGAUAAGUCAGAGGAAGGUGAGGGCAACGGUAGGUCAGUAUGCCCCGAAUCCCCCGGGCUACACGCGCGCUACAAAGACUAGAACAAUGGGCUUCGACACCGAAAGGUGAAGGCAAUCCCGAAACCUAGUCAUAGUUCGGAUUGAGGGUUGUAACCCACCCUCAUGAAGCUGGAAUCCGUAGUAAUCGCGGGUCAACAUCCCGCGGUGAAUAUGCCCCUGCUCCUUGCACACACCGCCCGUCAAACCAUGCGAGUUGGGUCUGAGUGAGGAUGUAAUUCUUGUUACAUUCAAACUUAGGCCUAGUAAGCGGGGUU